RNAcentral lists this transfer RNA (71 nucleotides) under Pyrobaculum aerophilum. RNAcentral's name for it is "tRNA-Val". It matches the Rfam family "tRNA". From Rfam's summary of the family: Transfer RNA (tRNA) molecules are approximately 80 nucleotides in length. Lineage: Archaea; Thermoproteati; Thermoproteota; Thermoprotei; Thermoproteales; Thermoproteaceae. The record is from RNAcentral.
GGGCCCGUAGUCUAGCGGUAUGAUGCCCGCCUCACGCGCGGUGGUCCCGGGUUCAAAUCCCGGCGGGCCCA